GCGUAAGCGCACGCAGGCGGUCUGUCAAGUCGGAUGUGAAAUCCCCGGGCUCAACCUGGGAACUGCAUUCGAAACUGGCAGGCUAGAGUCUUGUAGAGGGGGGUAGAAUUCCAGGUGUAGCGGUGAAAUGCGUAGAGAUCUGGAGGAAUACCGGUGGCGAAGGCGGCCCCCUGGACAAAGACUGACGCUCAGGUGCGAAAGCGUGGGGAGCAAACAGGAUUAGAUACCCUGGUAGUCCACGCCGUAAACGAUGUCGACUUGGAGGUUGUGCCCUUGAGGCGUGGCUUCCGGAGCUAACGCGUUAAGUCGACCGCCUGGGGAGUACGGCCGCAAGGUUAAAACUCAAAUGAAUUGACGGGGGCCCGCACAAGCGGUGGAGCAUGUGGUUUAAUUCGAUGCAACGCGAAGAACCUUACCUACUCUUGACAUCCAGAGAACUUUGCAGAGAUGCAUUGGUGCCUUCGGGAACUCUGAGACAGGUGCUGCAUGGCUGUCGUCAGCUCGUGUUGUGAAAUGUUGGGUUAAGUCCCGCAACGAGCGCAACCCUUAUCCUUUGUUGCCAGCGGUUAGGCCGGGAACUCAAAGGAGACUGCCAGUGAUAAACUGGAGGAAG
Molecule: ribosomal RNA, 613 nt
Filed under: Pantoea agglomerans
Lineage: Bacteria; Pseudomonadati; Pseudomonadota; Gammaproteobacteria; Enterobacterales; Erwiniaceae
Description: bacterial SSU rRNA
Rfam family: Bacterial small subunit ribosomal RNA
Source: RNAcentral